This 84-nucleotide transfer RNA is filed under the name Kitasatospora herbaricolor. Its description in RNAcentral is "tRNA-Gly". The record is from RNAcentral. Lineage: Bacteria; Bacillati; Actinomycetota; Actinomycetes; Kitasatosporales; Streptomycetaceae.
GCCGCGCUGGACCAGCGGGUCCCGCCGUUGCCGUCGACGGCGAGCCCGGCCGGGUAGGCCGCGUUCUCGACCGAGGACGCGGUG